GGGGAACGGGGCGGGGCUUCGGAGCGGUCUCCCGGUUACCGAGAGGCGGAGCUACGGAGGUGUUGUGGCCCGGAUGUCGGGGCGCUGCCUUCGGGUUCGCUGAUCCCCUUUCUCCUGCUGGGGAGCUCGCUAGCGGCCAAUGGCUGUCGAUAUUCAACCAGCAUGCCUUGGACUUUAUUGUGGGAAGACCCUGUUAUUUAAAAAUGGCUCAACUGAAAUAUAUGGAGAAUGUGGGGUAAGUCUGAUGUUUAUAUAAUAUUUCAUUGGUAUAAUCCAUUUGCUUUUGAGAUAUUUUCACAUGUAGAAUCUUUUUUCGUAAACUUUAACUGAGAAGAGUAGAGAAGCAUUAAUAAAAUCCUUAUAUUUAUUAGAAUAUUGAAAUCUAUAUCCAGGCAGGUAUGGUGCCACUGAGUUACAUCCCCUGCCCAUUUAUAGUUAUUGCUAAUUUUUAAAUGAUUUAGUGCAGUGACUUAUACAGUAAGUUAAUGUUACAAC
RNAcentral lists this long non-coding RNA (495 nucleotides) under Heterocephalus glaber (naked mole-rat). RNAcentral's name for it is "lncRNA (ENSHGLG00100035617.1)". The record is from RNAcentral. Lineage: Eukaryota; Metazoa; Chordata; Mammalia; Rodentia; Bathyergidae.